GAUCCUGGCUCGGGAUGAACGCUAGCUACAGGCUUAACACAUGCAAGUCGAGGGGCAGCAUGACGAUAGCCUGCUAUUGUCGAUGGCGACCGGCGCACGGGUGAGUAACGCGUAUCCAACCUCCCCAUAGCUAGGGAAUAACCUUGCGAAAGUAAGACUAAUGCCCUAUAACAUUCUUUGCAGACAUCUAAAGAGAAUUAAAGAUUUAUCGGCUAUGGAUGGGGAUGCGU
Molecule: ribosomal RNA, 230 nt
Filed under: uncultured bacterium
Lineage: Bacteria
Description: partial 16S ribosomal RNA
Rfam family: Bacterial small subunit ribosomal RNA
Source: RNAcentral